AUGAACGCUGGCGGCGUGCUUAACACAUGCAAGUCGAGCGAAGCACUAAAGCGGAUUUCUUCGGAUUGAAGGUUUAGUGACUGAGCGGCGGACGGGUGAGUAACGCGUGGGUAACCUGCCUCAUACAGGGGGAUAACAGUUGGAAACGGCUGCUAAUACCGCAUAAGCGCACAGUACCGCAUGGUACGGUGUGAAAAACUCCGGUGGUAUGAGAUGGACCCGCGUCUGAUUAGGUAGUUGGUGGGGUAACGGCCUACCAAGCCGACGAUCAGUAGCCGACCUGAGAGGGUGACCGGCCACAUUGGGACUGAGACACGGCCCAAACUCCUACGGGAGGCAGCAGUGGGGAAUAUUGCACAAUGGGGGAAACCCUGAUGCAGCGACGCCGCGUGAGCGAAGAAGUAUUUCGGUAUGU
This 415-nucleotide ribosomal RNA is filed under the name uncultured bacterium. RNAcentral describes it as "bacterial SSU rRNA". It matches the Rfam family "Bacterial small subunit ribosomal RNA", at positions 29 to 426 of the family's 1533-position model. The record is from RNAcentral.